GAUGAACGCUGGCGGCGUGCCUAAUACAUGCAAGUCGGGCGAACAGACGAGGAGCUUGCUCCUCUGACGUUAGCGGCGGACGGGUGAGUAACACGUGGAUAACCUACCUAUAAGACUGGGAUAACUUCGGGAAACCGGAGCUAAUACCGGAUAAUAUAUUGAACCGCAUGGUUCAAUAGUGAAAGACGGUUUUGCUGUCACUUAUAGAUGGAUCCGCGCCGCAUUAGCUAGUUGGUAAGGUAACGGCUUACCAAGGCGACGAUGCGUAGCCGACCUGAGAGGGUGAUCGGCCACACUGGAACUGAGACACGGUCCAGACUCCUACGGGAGGCAGCAGUAGGGAAUCUUCCGCAAUGGGCGAAAGCCUGACGGAGCAACGCCGCGUGAGUGAUGAAGGUCUUCGGAUCGUAAAACUCUGUUAUUAGGGAAGAACAAAUGUGUAAGUAACUAUGCACGUCUUGACGGUACCUAAUCAGAAAGCCACGGCUAACUACGUG
This 497-nucleotide ribosomal RNA is filed under the name uncultured bacterium. Its description in RNAcentral is "partial 16S ribosomal RNA". It matches the Rfam family "Bacterial small subunit ribosomal RNA", at positions 28 to 507 of the family's 1533-position model. The record is from RNAcentral.